AGCUCCAAUAGCGUAUAUUAAAGUUGUUGCAGUUAGAACGCUCGUAGUCGGAUUUCGGGGCGGGCCGACCGGUCUGCCGAUGGGUACGCACUGGUCGGCGCGUCCUUCCUUCCGGAGACCGCCUCUGUUCUUAACUGAAUGGGUGCGGGAGACGGAUCGUUUACUUUGAAAAAUCAGAGUGUUUCAAGCAGGCAGCUCGCUCUUGCAUGGAUUAGCAUGGGAUAAUGAAAUAGGACUUUGGUGCUAUUUUGUUGGUUUCGAACACC
Molecule: ribosomal RNA, 266 nt
Filed under: uncultured eukaryote
Lineage: Eukaryota
Description: partial small subunit ribosomal RNA
Rfam family: Eukaryotic small subunit ribosomal RNA
Source: RNAcentral